RNAcentral lists this long non-coding RNA (320 nucleotides) under Gallus gallus (chicken). The record is from RNAcentral. Lineage: Eukaryota; Metazoa; Chordata; Aves; Galliformes; Phasianidae.
GAGGUUAUAUCAGGUGCUUGAGUGUAUGUGCAAUUGGAGUGGCUGCAAUAUUUAAAGUACAGGUUUCAAAACAGAACGCAGUGAACGUCCUUCUUUAGUGAGUUCUCGUGUUACACACAUACAUGGCAGUGGAACAGCCUCCUCUCUUCUCUCUACAGCAUUAUAGCUACAUUUCUUCAGGUGGUCAGCCAUGCUUACGAUGUCAGCAAACUUCCACUCAUUCACAGUACAGAAGGCUGUACUGAACCGCCAAACCUUUUCUUUUAUUUGCCAAGAAGAACUUCCAUCUGGGUACUUUCUCUUCUCCCAAAGCAGAAUCA